Solanum lycopersicum (tomato) is the source of this 1567-nucleotide non-coding RNA. The record is from Rfam. Lineage: Eukaryota; Viridiplantae; Streptophyta; Magnoliopsida; Solanales; Solanaceae.
UGUCUCUUGUGUUUCAUCUGCAGGUUUCCUUGUUGGGCAAAGGAAAAGCACAAGUAUGAAGUGUGUUUUGUUGGGUCCAAGGAAAGCACAAGUAUGAAGUGUAUCUUAUGUUUCAUCCGCAAGUUUCCUUGUUGGGCCGUACUUGUGUUUUUCCUUGGCCCAAUAGAUGGAAACGUCUUCUAAUACCGCCUAGGAUAAGGAGAAAAAGGAGGAAUACGCUCGAUGAGAGACUCGUGUAUGAAUAGAUAAUUGGUGAGGCAAUAACUUACUAAUGCGAUGAUCAGUAGCUGGUUCGAGAUGAUGAUCAUCAAUGUUGGGAUUGAGAGACGGCUCAGACUCUUAUGGGAGGUAGCACUGGGGAAUUUUCCACAAUGAACAAAAACAUGACGGAUAAAUUCCACGUGGAGGAAUAUGGACCACAGUUCAUGAAAUUUUUCUCCCGGAAAAAAAGCAUUGAAGGUAUCUUAAGAAUUAGCAUCGACUAACUUUGUGCCAGCGGCAAUGGUGAUACAAAGAAUUCAACCUUUAUCUAAAAUAAUUGGGAGUAAAAUGUCUGUAGAUGGAUUUUUAAGACUUCCAUCAACUACCACGACUCAACCUUAAACAAGCGACAAAAACUACCAAUAUGGAGUACAGUAGAAGCAUAGGAAAUUUUUGGUGGAGUGGUUAAAUGAGUAGAGAUCGUAAAGAACACCGACAAUAAAAACACUCUAUUGGGUUGACAGUAACACGAAGAUACUAAAGUUAAGGGAGUGAAUGGCUUUAGAUACCCCAAAUCAAUACUGACACGAGGAUAAGAAAGUUACGGGAGUGAAUGGGAUUAGAUACCCCUAUAGUCUUAGACGUAAACGAUGGAUACUAGGCGCUGUUCAUAUCAACAUGUGUAGUGUUGUUGCUAGAACAUUAAAUAUCUCUCCUGGGGUGUAAUUUCAAAAGAAUUAAAAUCAAAGGAAUUGAUGAGGGAGUGCAAAAGCAGUGGAGCAUGUGGUUUCAUUAGAUUCAAAGUGAAGAACCUUACCAUGGCUUGACAUGUCGCAGAUACUCUUGAAAGAGAGACGUUCCUUCGGGAAUGCGAACACAGGUGGUGUGUGUCUUUUGUCAUCUUUUGUCAUAAGGAGUUGGUUUAAGUCACAAUAAUCGCAACCCUCAUGUUUAGUUGCCAUUGUUGAGUUUGGACCAUGAAAAACUUGCAACAUGAUAAGUCGGAGGAAGGUGAGGAUGACGUGAAGUAACUAUGCUUCUUAUGCCUUCGGCGGCACACGUGAUACAAUUUUUGAGACAAAGGGUCGAGAUCCCGCAGGGUGAGCUAACCCCAAAAACCCGUCAUCAAUUUGGAUUGCAGGUUGCAACUCGCCUGCAUGAAGUCGAAAUGUGUACUAAUCGCCUGUGUCAUACAACUGUGAGUUCAUUCCAAAGCCCUGUAUACACUGCCUGUCACACUAUGGGAGAUGACCAUGCCCAAAAUUGUUAUGUUAGAUACAAGGAGGGGAUGCCGAAGGCAGGGCUAGUGACUAGAGUAAAGUCAAAACAACAUAGUUUAGUGGAAGGUGCAGCUGGAUCCUUUUUA